AGGGAAAGUUGCAAAGAACUUUGAAGAGAGAGUUCAAGAGAACGUGACAUCGUUAAAGUGGAACCGGAGAGAGUUGACGAAGCAUCUGUGGUGAAGACUUUCGUGUUUGCUUUAGUGAGCUCGUUUGUUGGAUCUGCUUUGGCUGCGUUGGUAGGGUUAUUGGUGUUAGUUGAAACGUGUAGUGUUGCCCACUUCUGUGGUGUCUUGCUUGCGUGGAUACUGGUCGCUGGUAGCCUUUAGCUUUGCUUGCAAAGUACCAAUGUUCAAGUCGACCACCUUUCCGACCCGUCUUGAAACACGGACCGAGGAGUGUAGCUAGUGCGCGAGUCAAAGGGUGUCAAACCCCACGGCGUAAUGAAAGUAAAGGCCAGUUUACUGGUUUUACAUAGGAGUUGUUCUUUGAGCAAUGCACUAUGGCCCUGUCUUGAAAGCUUGCUUUCGGGCAGAGGAAGAGCGUACUGGUUGCGACCCGAAAGAUGGUGAACUAUACUUGAGCAGGACGAAGUCAGAGGAAACUCUGAUGGAAGUCCGUAUCGGUUCUGACGUGCAAAUCGAUCGAUAGACUUGAGUAUAGGGGCGAAAGACUAAUCGAACCAUCUAGUAGCUGGUUCCUUUCCGAGGA
This 622-nucleotide ribosomal RNA is filed under the name Angiostoma norvegicum. Its description in RNAcentral is "partial 28S ribosomal RNA". It matches the Rfam family "Eukaryotic large subunit ribosomal RNA", at positions 356 to 968 of the family's 3401-position model. The record is from RNAcentral. Lineage: Eukaryota; Metazoa; Nematoda; Chromadorea; Rhabditida; Angiostomatidae.